This 254-nucleotide unclassified non-coding RNA is filed under the name uncultured Patescibacteria group bacterium. RNAcentral describes it as "contains 16S-23S intergenic spacer region". It matches the Rfam family "Bacterial small subunit ribosomal RNA", at positions 524 to 776 of the family's 1533-position model. The record is from RNAcentral.
UACGUAGGGUCCAAGCGUUAUCCGGAAUGACUGGGCGUAAAGAGAUGCGUAGGCGGCUCUGUAAGCGGAUAUUGAAAUCCCACGGCUUAACCGUGUGGCCGGUAUCCGAACUGCAGGGCUAGAGUGUGAGAGGGGUAGCUGGAAUUGCUGGUGUAGGAGUGAAAUCCGUAGAUAUCAGCAGGAACACCGAUGGCGAAGGCAGGCUACUGGCUCAUUACUGACGCUAAGGCUCGAAAGCAUGGGUAGCGAACCGG